GAUGAACGCUGACAGAAUGCUUAACACAUGCAAGUCUACUUGAAUUCUCUUCGGAGAUAGUAAGGUGGCGGACGGGUGAGUAACACGUAAAGAACUUGCCCUGCAGUCUGGGACAACUAUUGGAAACGAUAGCUAAUACCGGAUAUUAUGCGAGAGCCGCAUGGCUCUUGUAUGAAAGCUAUAUGCGCUGCAGGAGAGCUUUGCGUCCCAUUAGUUAGUUGGUGAGGUAACGGCUCACCAAGACCGCGAUGGGUGGCCGGCCUGAGAGGGUGAACGGGCCACAAGGGGACUGAGACACGGGCCCUUACUCCUACGGGAGGCAGCAGUGGGGAAUAUUGGACAAUGGGACCAAAAGUCUGAUCCAGCAAUUCUGUGUGCACGAUGACGGUCUUAGGGAUUGUAAAGUGC
Molecule: ribosomal RNA, 408 nt
Filed under: uncultured bacterium
Lineage: Bacteria
Description: bacterial SSU rRNA
Rfam family: Bacterial small subunit ribosomal RNA
Source: RNAcentral